This 497-nucleotide ribosomal RNA is filed under the name uncultured bacterium. RNAcentral's name for it is "partial 16S ribosomal RNA". It matches the Rfam family "Bacterial small subunit ribosomal RNA", at positions 28 to 507 of the family's 1533-position model. The record is from RNAcentral.
GAUGAACGCUGGCGGCGUGCCUAAUACAUGCAAGUCGAGCGAACGGACGAGAAGCUUGCUUCUCUGAUGUUAGCGGCGGACGGGUGAGUAACACGUGGAUAACCUACCUAUAAGACUGGGAUAACUUCGGGAAACCGGAGCUAAUACCGGAUGAUAUUUUGAACCGCAUGGUUCAAAAGUGAAAGACGGUCUUGCUGUCACUUAUAGAUGGAUCCGCGCUGCAUUAGCUAGUUGGUAAGGUAACGGCUUACCGAGGCAACGAUGCAUAGCCGACCUGAGAGAGUGAUCGGCCACACUGGAACUGAGACACGGUCCAGACUCCUACGGGAGGCAGCAGUAGGGAAUCUUCCGCAAUGGGCGAAAGCCUGACGGAGCAACGCCGCGUGAGUGAUGAAGGUCUUCGGAUCGUAAAACUCUGUUAUUAGGGAAGAACAUAUGUGUAAGUAACUGUGCACAUCUUGACGGUACCUAAUCAGAAAGCCACGGCUAACUACGUG